AGCUUUUUAGUAUAAUUAAGUAUAGUUAAUUUCCAAUUAAUAGGUUUUAAAAGCUU
This 56-nucleotide transfer RNA is filed under the name Dermatophagoides pteronyssinus (European house dust mite). RNAcentral's name for it is "tRNA-Gly". Lineage: Eukaryota; Metazoa; Arthropoda; Arachnida; Sarcoptiformes; Pyroglyphidae. The record is from RNAcentral.